CAAAACUUUAUUUUUUUAUAAUAGAUAAAAACUAUGUUCUAAGAUUAAUCCCUGAUGCAAAAUUAAGGAAGAUAAAAUACGGGAACAAGAGUAACCAAAUAAGUUAAAUUCAACUAAAAGACGAGCUCAUGAGAUUUCAUUCCAACAUUUAGAGAAAAUCUCGCUCCCAAAUAGAACUUCAAUUCUAAAACGCUCUCAAUAGCUUUUAACAAUUCUGCAUCAACAGCUUUUUGGUCAUCUUUCUUCUCUACUGGAAGCACAUUUCUCCUCUUUUUUUGCCUCAAAGAAUUCAGUCUCGCCCUUCUUCUUCUCAGCUUGCAUAGCCAAGUACUCGUCAUCGAGCUUCUCCACAUUCACCCUAGAGAUGUCAACCUUUUGUGGAACUAGCAACAACGUAGGCUUGGUCGACACGUAGAGGAAUGCCAUAAUCUUGAAUGGUCUGGUAACAAGCAACAAUCCAGAAGCAAGCUACUUCAAGAGAACAACACGCAUCCUCUUAAAUCUUCCAGUCAAUAUAAUUAACGCUGUCCUUGGAGUAAUACUUGCCCUAAGUUUUGUGGGUUUGUGCUUGCGCUUGUUGGAAAGCGGCUUCUUGACAUCAUCAGCUGGGUAGAAUUUGGGUGCAUUCUCGGCAGCUGGUUUUGCUGCUAUGGAUUUCUUCUAGUGGUUUGGGAAUUUGCCUCCAUUUUUGGCCUUGAUAGCCUAUAUUCAGUUAUUGGAGGUGGAGGCGUCCAUGUUUAAGUGAUAAUAAAACAUUAAUGCCACAAAUCCCAUUUCAUCAACAAAGAAAUUUACAUCUGUCUAUUCAACGCUCCACUUCCACCACGUCAAUUCUCACACAAUCAUCUUCACGGAUGAAAAACGUACUUGAACAGGGGAACUUAACUUGAAUCAAAAAUCAAAAUCAAAGUUUAUAGCAUUUUAAUCUAGAUACGAAAAGGGAGGCAAGCGCCGGAGAACUAAAAUUCACAAAACCAAGCCAUGAAGUGAAGCCUCCAAGAUUACCAAAAAGACUGCUUCUGAGUUCAAUUAACAAUCUAUGACCAACCCCUUAAACAUAAAAUCAGAAAACAUACGUCGUCAACGAAAAUUAAAAAUUAAAAGUAACAAAAAAAAGGUUCUUAGAGAAAUAUAUUGAUUUGGGUCCUGGGAGGCGAGAGACGAGAGUGAGAGGCACCGGUGGUGGAAGGCGGCGAGAAACAAGAGGGAGGGCUGAGGCACCUGAUAAAGUCGUGAGAGAUGAGAGGAGAGUGAAAUAUGUGGUUUGGAUGGAUUGCAAACAUAGGAUUUCUCUCAGCCAUCGGUUGGUUUUGGGGGUUUUGGAAGAUUUAGGGCGUAAUUAUUACGGUCAUUAUAGGUUUUAGUUUGUUUAAGCGUAUUAAUCUAGUUUGUUCACUUUUUAAAGUAGGG
RNAcentral lists this long non-coding RNA (1410 nucleotides) under Olea europaea subsp. europaea. Lineage: Eukaryota; Viridiplantae; Streptophyta; Magnoliopsida; Lamiales; Oleaceae. The record is from RNAcentral.